AGAGUUUGAUCCUGGCUCAGAGCGAACGCUGGCGGCAGGCUUAACACAUGCAAGUCGAGCGGGCCCUUUCGGGGGUCAGCGGCGGACGGGUGAGUAACGCGUGGGAACGUGCCCUCUGGUUCGGAAUAACUCAGGGAAACUUGAGCUAAUACCGGAUACGCCCUUUUGGGGAAAGGCUUGCUGCCGGAGGAUCGGCCCGCGUCUGAUUAGCUAGUUGGUGAGGUAACGGCUCACCAAGGCGACGAUCAGUAGCUGGUCUGAGAGGAUGAUCAGCCACACUGGGACUGAGACACGGCCCAGACUCCUACGGGAGGCAGCAGUGGGGAAUAUUGGACAAUGGGCGCAAGCCUGAUCCAGCCAUGCCGCGUGAGUGAUGAAGGCCUUAGGGUUGUAAAGCUCUUUUAUCCGGGACGAUAAUGACGUACCGGAGAA
RNAcentral lists this ribosomal RNA (432 nucleotides) under Methylobacterium sp. EI198. Its description in RNAcentral is "bacterial SSU rRNA". It matches the Rfam family "Bacterial small subunit ribosomal RNA", at positions 8 to 485 of the family's 1533-position model. The record is from RNAcentral. Lineage: Bacteria; Pseudomonadati; Pseudomonadota; Alphaproteobacteria; Hyphomicrobiales; Methylobacteriaceae.